Molecule: unclassified non-coding RNA, 272 nt
Filed under: plant metagenome
Description: partial contains small subunit ribosomal RNA, internal transcribed spacer 1, and 5.8S ribosomal RNA
Source: RNAcentral
UUUCCGUAGGUGAACCUGCGGAAAGAUCAUUAAUGAGUUGUCAUGGGGUUCGAUGCUGGCAGCCAGUUUUUGGAUGCAUGUGCUUGCCCUAGCAAUCAUCUUCUUCCAAACACCUGUGCACAUUUUUGAGGGAGUCUUGAGUUGGUUGCCGCUCUUGGGUGAUUUUCUCACAUUCCCUUAAAUCAUUAUACGCUAUUAACAAUGUUGAACGUGCUCUGUGCCGCAAGGCCAUUAAUAUAAUACAACUUUUAACAACGGAUCUCUUGGCUCUC